RNAcentral lists this unclassified non-coding RNA (240 nucleotides) under fungal sp. Its description in RNAcentral is "partial internal transcribed spacer region". The stretch from base 1 to 46 matches the Rfam family "Eukaryotic small subunit ribosomal RNA", at positions 1786 to 1831 of the family's 1831-position model. RNAcentral also lists the same sequence under 1 other name. The record is from RNAcentral. Lineage: Eukaryota; Fungi.
AAGUCGUAACAAGGUCUCCGUUGGUGAACCAGCGGAGGGAUCAUUACAGAGUUGUGAAACUCUCACCAUUGUAAACAUUACCUUUACCGUUGCUUCGGUGGGUGGCUCCCUUUCGGGUGCCACGCCCUCCCUUCGGGGUAGGCAGCCCACCAGAGGUACACUAAACUCUCGUAUUAUUUGGCAUCUCUGAGUAACUUAUAAAAUAAGUCAAAACUUUCAACAACGGAUCUCUUGGUUCUG